AGGGGUAUAGUAUAAUGGCAGUACAGCGGUCUCCAAAACCGUUAGUGUGGGUUCGAAUCCUGCUACCCCUG
Molecule: transfer RNA, 71 nt
Filed under: Dolosicoccus paucivorans
Lineage: Bacteria; Bacillati; Bacillota; Bacilli; Lactobacillales; Aerococcaceae
Rfam family: tRNA
About the family: Transfer RNA (tRNA) molecules are approximately 80 nucleotides in length.
Source: Rfam by way of RNAcentral